UACGUAGGGGGCAAGCGUUGUCCGGAAUCAUUGGGCGUAAAGAGCGCGUAGGCGGCCCUGUAAGUCCGCUGUGAAAGUCAAGGGCUCAACCCUUGAAUGCCGGUGGAUACUGCAGGGCUAGAGUCCGGAAGAGGCGAGUGGAAUUCCUGGUGUAGCGGUGAAAUGCGCAGAUAUCAGGAGGAACACCGAUGGCGAAGGCAGCUCGCUGGGACGGUACUGACGCUGAGGAGCGAGAGCGUGGGGAGCGAACAGG
Molecule: ribosomal RNA, 253 nt
Filed under: uncultured bacterium
Lineage: Bacteria
Description: partial 16S ribosomal RNA
Rfam family: Bacterial small subunit ribosomal RNA
Source: RNAcentral